This 271-nucleotide unclassified non-coding RNA is filed under the name Hevea brasiliensis (rubber tree). Lineage: Eukaryota; Viridiplantae; Streptophyta; Magnoliopsida; Malpighiales; Euphorbiaceae. The record is from RNAcentral.
GUCGUGAAGCAAAUUAAGUGCCUCAAAUUGACUAACGGAAUAAGGAAUUUCAGUAUCCAACAGAAUCCUUAUUUUAGUAGCUUACACCAAACGGAGCAGAUGUAACAGCAACAAAUGGACAGCCAUUGCCAAAAAUGCAAAUAAUACAACAUGCUGCUUGAUCAUGUCAAUCAAACAUGUUAAUUAGCUAAUUGAAUCAGUUUUGUUUCUGAUUGUACAAUUGCUUUCAAAUAAUCAUAUAAUGCUGUGGAAUUGGCUAAUGGCAAUAUUC